GACGAACGCUGGCGGCGUGCCUAAUACAUGCAAGUAGAACGCUGAAGGAGGAGCUUGCUCUUCUGGAUGAGUUGCGAACGGGUGAGUAACGCGUAGGUAACCUGCCUGGUAGCGGGGGAUAACUAUUGGAAACGAUAGCUAAUACCGCAUAAGAGUAGAUGUUGCAUGACAUUUGCUUAAAAGGUGCAAUUGCAUCACUACCAGACGGACCUGCGUUGUUUUAGCUAGUUGGUGCGGUAACGGCCCACCAAGGCGACGAUACAUAGCCGACCGGUGAGGGGGAGCGGCCACACUGGGACUGAGACACGGCCCAGACUCCUACGGGAGGCAGCAGUAGGGAAUCGUCGGCAAGGGGCGGGAGUCUGACCGAGCAACGCCGAGGGAGUGAAGAAGGAUGUCGGAUCGGAGAGCUCUGUUGUAAGGGAGGAACGAGUGUGAGAGUGGAAAGUUCACACUGUGACGGUAUCUUACCAGAAAGGGACGGCUAACUACGUG
RNAcentral lists this ribosomal RNA (495 nucleotides) under uncultured bacterium. RNAcentral's name for it is "partial 16S ribosomal RNA". It matches the Rfam family "Bacterial small subunit ribosomal RNA", at positions 28 to 507 of the family's 1533-position model. The record is from RNAcentral.